Molecule: ribosomal RNA, 253 nt
Filed under: uncultured bacterium
Lineage: Bacteria
Description: partial 16S ribosomal RNA
Rfam family: Bacterial small subunit ribosomal RNA
Source: RNAcentral
UACGUAGGGGGCAAGCGUUGUCCGGAUUUAUUGGGCGUAAAGAGCGUGUAGGCGGCCACACAGGUCUGCUGUGAAAACUCGAGGCUCAACCUCGAGCUGUCGGUGGAAACCGUGUGGCUAGAGUCCGGAAGAGGAGAGUGGAAUUCCCGGUGUAGCGGUGAAAUGCGCAGAUAUCAGGAGGAACACCGGUGGCGAAGGCGGGUCUCUGGGCCGAUAUCGACGCUGAGGAGCGAAAGCGUGGGUAGCGAACAGG